RNAcentral lists this long non-coding RNA (227 nucleotides) under Eucalyptus grandis. Its description in RNAcentral is "long non-coding RNA (EGRA_LNC002794)". Lineage: Eukaryota; Viridiplantae; Streptophyta; Magnoliopsida; Myrtales; Myrtaceae. The record is from RNAcentral.
CCGUUCGACCCCGUCGGACCUCCCCGGCGUCCCCCUCGCCCUCCGCCGGCCUCCCCUCGCCGCCCUAGCCACCGGAUUAACUCCGGCAAGCCUUGAACCGCAACCCAUGAAAUGGGUUUCCAGCUGGUUCGGGCCCGCUUUUGGGCCGUUUCCGGGCCCCGAACCCGAGCCGUGCUUUGGGAAGUUUUGUUCCUCGCGUCGCCCCCGUCGGAUUGAUCUGAUUUGCG